RNAcentral lists this ribosomal RNA (229 nucleotides) under uncultured bacterium. RNAcentral's name for it is "partial 16S ribosomal RNA". It matches the Rfam family "Bacterial small subunit ribosomal RNA", at positions 15 to 241 of the family's 1533-position model. The record is from RNAcentral.
GAUCCUGGCUCAGAUUGAACGCUGGCGGCAGGCCUAACACAUGCAAGUCGAGCGGUAGCACAGAGUAGCUUGCUCUCGGUGACGAGCGGCGGACGGGUGAGUAAUGUCUGGGAAACUGCCUGAUGGAGGGGGAUAACUACUGGAAACGGUAGCUAAUACCGCAUAAUGUCGCAAGACCAAAGGUGGGGACCUUCGGGCCUCAUGCCAUCUAGAUGUGCCCAGAUGGGUA